UUUAACCCUCUUAUACUCCAAUUACAUUCACAUGCCAUGCAUAUUCAUACAACAUCCUCCAAUAUCAAGUUUGGAUUCAUUUAUCCUUCCAACCAAUCCAUUAAACCAAAUUGAGCCAUAGACAUAAAUAAUCAUCAAUUCAAUAGUAUAUCACCAUAUCCACCUUCCAUAACUCAAUUACCAUAUCCACUUUCCACAAUUCAAUACAACCAAAUUAUGCAAAAUAGUCCAUAACCCUAUUUCCAUCAC
Molecule: long non-coding RNA, 249 nt
Filed under: Capsicum annuum
Lineage: Eukaryota; Viridiplantae; Streptophyta; Magnoliopsida; Solanales; Solanaceae
Description: long non-coding RNA (CANN_LNC017357)
Source: RNAcentral